AGGUGUGCCUUGAGGCGUGGCUUCCGGAGCUAACGCGUUAAGUCGACCGCCUGGGGAGUACGGCCGCAAGGUUAAAACUCAAAUGAAUUGACGGGGGCCCGCACAAGCGGUGGAGCAUGUGGUUUAAUUCGAUGCAACGCGAAGAACCUUACCUACUCUUGACAUCCAGAGAACUUAGCAGAGAUGCUUUGGUGCCUUCGGGAACUCUGAGACAGGUGCUGCAUGGCUGUCGUCAGCUCGUGUUGUGAAAUGUUGGGUUAAGUCCCGCAACGAGCGCAACCCUUAUCCUUUGUUGCCAGCGGUCCGGCCGGGAACUCAAAGGAGACUGCCAGUGAUAAACUGGAGGAAGGUGGGGAUGACGUCAAGUCAUCAUGGCCCUUACGAGUAGGGCUACACACGUGCUACAAUGGCGCAUACAAAGAGAAGCGACCUCGCGAGAGCAAGCGGACCUCAUAAAGUGCGUCGUAGUCCGGAUUGGAGUCUGCAACUCGACUCCAUGAAGUCGGAAUCGCUAGUAAUCGUAGAUCAGAAUGCUACGGUGAAUACGUUCCCGGGCCUUGCACUCCCCGCCCGUCA
Molecule: ribosomal RNA, 576 nt
Filed under: Enterobacterales bacterium
Lineage: Bacteria; Pseudomonadati; Pseudomonadota; Gammaproteobacteria; Enterobacterales
Description: bacterial SSU rRNA
Rfam family: Bacterial small subunit ribosomal RNA
Source: RNAcentral